Molecule: long non-coding RNA, 244 nt
Filed under: Brassica napus (rape)
Lineage: Eukaryota; Viridiplantae; Streptophyta; Magnoliopsida; Brassicales; Brassicaceae
Description: long non-coding RNA (BNAP_LNC014952)
Source: RNAcentral
AGCAUCUAACAAACUAUUUAUCAGCCAACUCAAACUAUUUUUUAGAAAAAAUUACAAACCGUUUUAAAAGGCCGUUAACAUGUUUUAUAACAGCUAAGUAGACAUUUUAUCAGCUAAUGAUAAUAUAUUUUGUGAAAAAAUCGGCAUCCACCGGUUUAGUAACAACUAACCAAACAUGCAUAUGCUCACAAUAUGUGAUUUGUAGCAUGUAAUCAAACAAUUAUCCGUUAACUUAAUAAAUAUC